GACGAACGCUGGCGGCGUGCUUAACACAUGCAAGUCGAGCGGUAAGGCCCUUUCGGGGGUACGACGAGCGGCGAACGGGUGAGUAACACGUGGGUGACCUGCCCUCAGCUCUGGGAGUAAGCCUGGGAAACUGGGUCUAAUACCGGAUAUGACUCCAUGACGCAUGUUGUGGGGUGGAAAGCCUUGUGCGGCUGGGGAUGGGCCCGCGGCCUAUCAGCUUGUUGGUGGGGUGAGGCCUACCAAGGCGACGACGGGUAGCCGGCCUGAGAGGGCGACCGGCCACACUGGGACUGAGACACGGCCCAGACUCCUACGGGAGGCAGCAGUGGGGAAUCUUGCGCAAUGGGCGAAAGCCUGACGCAGCGACGCCGCGUGAGGGAUGACGGCCU
This 389-nucleotide ribosomal RNA is filed under the name uncultured bacterium. RNAcentral's name for it is "bacterial SSU rRNA". It matches the Rfam family "Bacterial small subunit ribosomal RNA", at positions 28 to 417 of the family's 1533-position model. The record is from RNAcentral.